This 449-nucleotide ribosomal RNA is filed under the name uncultured bacterium. RNAcentral's name for it is "partial 16S ribosomal RNA". It matches the Rfam family "Bacterial small subunit ribosomal RNA", at positions 29 to 523 of the family's 1533-position model. The record is from RNAcentral.
AACGAACGCUGGCGGCAUGCCUAACACAUGCAAGUCGAACGAGAUCUUCGGGUCUAGUGGCGCACGGGUGCGUAACGCGUGGGAAUCUGCCCUUUGGUUCGGAAUAACAGUUGGAAACGACUGCUAAUACGGGAUGAUGAGGAAAGUCCAAAGAUUUAUCGCCAGAGGAUGAGCCCGCGUGGGAUUAGCUAGUUGGUGUGGUAAAGGCGCACCAAGGCGACGAUCCUUAGCUGGUCUGAGAGGAUGAUCAGCCACACUGGGACUGAGACACGGCCCAGACUCCUACGGGAGGCAGCAGUGGGGAAUAUUGGACAAUGGGCGAAAGCCUGAUCCAGCAAUGCCGCGUGAGUGAUGAAGGCCUUAGGGUUGUAAAGCUCUUUUACCCGGGAUGAUAAUGACAGUACCGGGAGAAUAAGCUCCGGCUAACUCCGUGCCAGCCGCCGCGGUAA